This 408-nucleotide ribosomal RNA is filed under the name uncultured bacterium. Its description in RNAcentral is "partial 16S ribosomal RNA". It matches the Rfam family "Bacterial small subunit ribosomal RNA", at positions 28 to 526 of the family's 1533-position model. The record is from RNAcentral.
GACGAACGCUGGCGGCGUGCUUAACACAUGCAAGUCGAACGACGUGGCGAACGGGUGAGUAACGCGUAAUCAACCUGCCCUUCAGAGGGGGACAACAGUUGGAAACGACUGCUCAUACCGCAUACUGAAGGAGGGGAUUGCGUCUGAUUAGGUAGUUGGAGGGGUAACGGCCCACCAAGGCGAGGAUAAGGAGCCGGGCUGCGAGGGUGAACGGCCACAUUGUGACUGGGAAACGGCCCAGACCCCUACGGGAGGCAGCAGUGGGGAAUCUUCCGCAAUGGAGGAAAGUCUGACGGAGCAACGCCGCGUGAGUGAUGACGGCCUUCGGGUUGUAAAGCGCUGUUAAUCGGGACGCGGUACCGGAAUAGAAAGCCACGGCUAACUACGUGCCAGCAGCCGCGGUAAUUC